AGGGGCAGCGCAGUGUAGCAAUACAUGGGGCGGCGACCGGCAAACGGGUGCGGAACACGUACGCAACCUUCCUUUAAGUGGGGGAUAGCUUUCGGAAACGAAAAUUAAUACCCCGUAACACUGUGAGAUGGCAUCAUCUUAUAGUUAUAGCUCCGGCGCUUAAAGAUGGGCGUGCGCCUGAUUAGGUAGUUGGCGGAGUAACAGCCCACCAAGCCUACGAUCAGUAACUGGUGUGAGAGCACGACCAGUCACACGGGCACUGAGACACGGGCCCGACUCCUACGGGAGGCAGCAGUAAGGAAUAUUGGUCAAUGGACGCAAGUCUGAACCAGCCAUGCCGCGUGGAGGAUGAAGAUCCUCUGGAUUGUAAACUUCUUUUAUCGGAGAAGAAACCCCAGUUUUCUUGCUGGGUUGACGGUACCCGAUGAAUAAGCACCGGCUAACUCCGUGCCAGCAGCCGCGGUAAUACGGAGGGUGCAAGCGUUA
RNAcentral lists this ribosomal RNA (486 nucleotides) under uncultured bacterium. RNAcentral's name for it is "bacterial SSU rRNA". It matches the Rfam family "Bacterial small subunit ribosomal RNA", at positions 65 to 543 of the family's 1533-position model. The record is from RNAcentral.